UCCUGUCACUAUAUAAAGCAGAGAGUGGUGUGUUUUCUAUAUCUAUACCAACAGCCCUCGUUAAUUAUUUUGUCACAAUAGUACCCUGCUAGGGGCAAGGAAUUUAUGGGUUACGGUGUCAAGGGUGAAUCACCCAACAGUUUAAAAUAUGUAAUAAAAUAGAAACGCAUAAUUUACCUUUUUAAGAAGGUUUGUAGUGGGUUAUUUAUGCAAAACCGCUACACUUGAGGCUAAGAUAACAACUUGGUAGUACUCCCUCCGUCCAAGUGUAUAGGGCACACGCGUAGUCCUAGGUCGUUAAUUUAACUAUUUAAAUAUGUAUUAUAUGUAACAAAUAAUAUAUCAUUAGAUUCAUGCAAAGAUGUAGUUUCCGAAUAUAUAAUUUUUAUCGCAUAUAAUACAUAUUUAGCUAGUUAAAUUGAUAACCUAGAACUACGCGCAUGCCCUAUACACUUGGACGGAGGUAGUACAACAUUUGUGACAGGGCAAGUUCCAGCCUUCCAUCUCGCUCGCUCGUGAAGAAGGAAAAAUUGACCGAGCCAACAAAAUAUUCAGAGUUUCAGACACCUGGAGUUCAGCAAAACCGUAUUUUAAAUGUCUGGUCAUCCAACUCAACACCCUGUGGUUUGGCCUCUAACAAUGGAUAAACAAAACACCUUGUUUCUCCUAUAGCAGUUAAGUAGAAAUAGCCUGACGACAGGAACAACAAAGGGGAAAAACUAGGCUGU
Molecule: long non-coding RNA, 728 nt
Filed under: Hordeum vulgare
Lineage: Eukaryota; Viridiplantae; Streptophyta; Magnoliopsida; Poales; Poaceae
Description: long non-coding RNA (HVUL_LNC006334)
Source: RNAcentral